CUACGUGCCAGCAGCCGCGGUAAUACGGAGGGUGCGAGCGUUAAUCGGAAUAACUGGGCGUAAAGGGCACGCAGGCGGUGACUUAAGUGAGGUGUGAAAGCCCCGGGCUUAACCUGGGAAUUGCAUUUCAUACUGGGUCGCUAGAGUACUUUAGGGAGGGGUAGAAUUCCACGUGUAGCGGUGAAAUGCGUAGAGAUGUGGAGGAAUACCGAAGGCGAAGGCAGCCCCUUGGGAAUGUACUGACGCUCAUGUGCGAAAGCGUGGGGAGCAAACAGGAUUAGAUACCCUGGUAGUCCACGCUGUAAACGAUGUCGAUUUGGGGGUUGAACUUUAAGUUUGGCGCCCGUAGCUAACGUGAUAAAUCGACCGCCUGGGUAGUACGGCCGCAAGGUUAAAACUCAAAUGAAUUGACGGGGGCCCGCACAAGCGGUGGAGCAUGUGGUUUAAUUCGAUGCAACGCGAAGAACCUUACCUACUCUUGACAUCCAGAGAACAUUC
Molecule: ribosomal RNA, 498 nt
Filed under: uncultured bacterium
Lineage: Bacteria
Description: bacterial SSU rRNA
Rfam family: Bacterial small subunit ribosomal RNA
Source: RNAcentral